Molecule: unclassified non-coding RNA, 347 nt
Filed under: uncultured fungus
Lineage: Eukaryota; Fungi
Description: partial contains small subunit ribosomal RNA, internal transcribed spacer 1, and 5.8S ribosomal RNA
Rfam family: Eukaryotic small subunit ribosomal RNA (bases 1-73)
Source: RNAcentral
UCAAACUUGGUCAUUUAGAGGAAGUAAAAGUCGUAACAAGGUCUCCGUAGGUGAACCUGCGGAGGGAUCAUUAUUGAAAGUUUUGGGGGUACUGUUGCUGGUCUUUAACAAGGCAUGUGCAUGUACUCCUAAUCUAUUCAUCCACCUGUGCAUUUUUUGUAGGAGUUCUUUCAGGUUGGCUUGCAAGGUCCUUUGGACAUUGUAAUGGCUAGCAUGUGAGGCUUCUAUGUCUUUACAAACCAGUUAAGUAUGUUUAGAAUGUGUUGUAUUGGGACUUCAUUGACCCAUUAAACUAUACAACUUUCAGCAACGGAUCUCUUGGCUCUCCCAUCGAUGAAGAACGCAGC